RNA transcript from Olea europaea var. sylvestris, 944 nucleotides. It is a transcript of the gene named metallothiol transferase FosB-like, with no coding region annotated. NCBI's taxonomy places the organism in Eukaryota, Viridiplantae, Streptophyta, Magnoliopsida, Lamiales, Oleaceae. The transcript is spliced from 3 exons. The record is from RefSeq and is a predicted model, not a curated record.
UUUACUCAUUUUCAUAGCCACUCAAAGAAAGAGUGAGUUGAAGAGAGAAAAGAGAAAGAUUAGAGUCAAGAUGGGGAGAGAAAUUGUUGAAGUGUUAGAAUCUUCAAACCAAGAAAAUAAUUUGCCUUAUUUGUCUUUAAAUCACGUCUCGUUUAUUUGCAAAUCCGUCCGAAGAUCUGUUAAAUUUUACGAGGAAGUUUUGGGGUUCGUCCUCAUCAAAAGACCCUCUUCGUUCGACUUUGAAGGAGCCUGGUUGUUCAAUCAUGGAAUUGGAAUUCAUUUACUCGAAACAGAGAAAAUCCCACAGAAGAAAGGGAAAAUAAAUCCAAAAGACAAUCACAUAUCAUUCCAAUGCACGGACAUGGAACGAAUUAUUCAGAAAUUGGAAGAAAUGAAAAUAGAAUAUGUAAAAGCAGUUGUUAAAGAAGGUGGAAUCAUAGUUGAUCAAAUAUUCUUCCAUGAUCCUGAUGGCUACAUGAUUGAAAUUUGCAAUUGCCAGAAUUUGCCAGUUCUUCCACUCUCAGCACCAUCUUGCCCCAUCAAAACUACUAACCUCAACAACUCAUCAUCCUUUUAUGGUUGUAAGUCAUUAUUUUUUCAUUUAUCAUGUACUUUCCAAAUGACUGUUUUGUAGGGCUUCAACUUCUUGUAAAAGACUUGAGUUUCAAGAGAAAGUUACGUUAAGCCAUCUUCCUCUAAAAGUUAUUGUAGUUGCGACACUUCAAGAAAUUAGGGGAAGAUGCAGUGCAGUGGAGAAGUAGAGGCUUUGAUGAUGGAGAAUUUGGCCAUGGAGAUGAUGGAUAUUUCAAUUUAAGUUGAGAUGUUUAUCAUCAAUUAAUGCUUGGCAAAAAUACAAUGUAUCUUUUCAAUUUUCCCUUCUUUUUGCAAGAGUUUAAAUAAUGUAGAUUAUUAUUUCAUAUAAUUAAUAUGGUAUUAUGCAAUUA